GUGAACGCUGGCGGUAGGCCUAACACAUGCAAGUCGAACGGCAGCACAGUAAGAGCUUGCUCUUACGGGUGGCGAGUGGCGGACGGGUGAGGAAUACAUCGGAAUCUACUUUUUCGUGGGGGAUAACGUAGGGAAACUUACGCUAAUACCGCAUACGACCUACGGGUGAAAGCAGGGGAUCUUCGGACCUUGCGCGAUUGAAUGAGCCGAUGUCGGAUUAGCUAGUUGGCGGGGUAAAGGCCCACCAAGGCGACGAUCCGUAGCUGGUCUGAGAGGAGAAUCGGCCAAAUGGGAACGGGAACAGGUUCCAAACUCUACGGGAGGGAGCAGGGGGGGAAAAUUGAAAAAGGGGGCAAGGCCGAACCCAGCAAUACGGGUGGGUGGAGGAAGGCUUUGGGUUGGAAAACCCCUUUUGUUGGGAAAGAAAAGCAGCAGGUUAAUACCCCGCUGUUCUGACGGUACCCAAAGAAUAAGCACCGGCUAACUUCGUG
This 491-nucleotide ribosomal RNA is filed under the name uncultured bacterium. RNAcentral describes it as "partial 16S ribosomal RNA". It matches the Rfam family "Bacterial small subunit ribosomal RNA", at positions 29 to 507 of the family's 1533-position model. The record is from RNAcentral.